Molecule: ribosomal RNA, 253 nt
Filed under: uncultured bacterium
Lineage: Bacteria
Description: partial 16S ribosomal RNA
Rfam family: Bacterial small subunit ribosomal RNA
Source: RNAcentral
UACGUAGGGGGCUAGCGUUGUCCGGAUUUAUUGGGCGUAAAGAGCGUGUAGGCGGCCAGAUAGGUCUGCUGUGAAAACUCGAGGCUCAACCUCGAGAUGUCGGCGGAAACCAUUUGGCUAGAGUCCGGAAGAGGAAAGUGGAAUUCCUGGUGUAGCGGUGAAAUGCGCAGAUAUCAGGAGGAACACCGGUGGCGAAGGCGGAUCUCUGGGCCGAUACUGACGCUGAGGAGCGAAAGCGUGGGGAGCGAACAGG